AUCCCACCGAGGCCACCAUAGACCAGCCAGCCCUCAGCGUACAUGCCAGCUAAUUACAGAUGCAGGAGCAAACCCCUGGCCCAUACAUCAAAACAUACAGUAAACAGAGAAAAAAAAGGAUCUCAGGUGAGAUGAUGUAUGGGAAUGCUCAGCAUACAGAAUGAAUGGAUAAGAGGCCUGAAAACAUAAUCCUGUAAACAACCAUAUUGAAAGAGAAGACAGAAGACAUCAAACAGAUGGAGUUUCGCUCUUGUUGCCCAGGCUGGAGUGCAACGGCACGAUCUCAGCUCACCGCAACCUCAGCCUCCCAAGUUCAAGCAAUUCUCCUGCCUCAGCGUCCUGAGUAGCUGGAAUUACAGGAUUUUGGAAGCAUUGCCUUCUACAGAAUCCACAGUAGUCCGAAGCUCUUCUACGGUUUUUGUCAAACUUUGAUUUUCCAUCUCUAGCUUCAAUAAUCUACUUGAUGUCAACUCAUUCACCUCAUGGCCCAGGGAUUUCUGGGGUGCUAUAAUAUUGAAAAAUACACCAUUGUAUUUACUCUUUACUGUUUUUACUAUGUUUACUCUUUACUAUUUAAAAAGUUGAGUGUAUAUGCAUUGCAUCAUCUGAUCCUUAACUUU
This 620-nucleotide long non-coding RNA is filed under the name Homo sapiens (human). Its description in RNAcentral is "HSALNT0031758". Lineage: Eukaryota; Metazoa; Chordata; Mammalia; Primates; Hominidae. The record is from RNAcentral.